UUUCUUCGGAAUGAAUUUGAUUUAGUUUAGUGGCGGACGGGUGAGUAACACGUGAGCAACCUGCCUUUCAGAGGGGGACAACAGUUGGAAACGACUGCUAAUACCGCAUGACACAUAGAGAUCGCAUGGUUUUUAUGUCAAAGAUUUAUCGCUUCAAGAUGGCCUCGCGUCUGAUUAGCUGGUUGGCGGGGUAACGGCCCACCAAGGCGACGAUCAGUAGCCGGACUGAGAGGUUGAACGGCCACAUCGGGACUGAGAUACGGCCCAGACUCC
RNAcentral lists this ribosomal RNA (273 nucleotides) under uncultured Oscillibacter sp. RNAcentral describes it as "partial 16S ribosomal RNA". It matches the Rfam family "Bacterial small subunit ribosomal RNA", at positions 75 to 339 of the family's 1533-position model. Lineage: Bacteria; Bacillati; Bacillota; Clostridia; Eubacteriales; Oscillospiraceae. The record is from RNAcentral.